Molecule: RNA transcript, 696 nt
Organism: Magnolia sinica
Lineage: Eukaryota; Viridiplantae; Streptophyta; Magnoliopsida; Magnoliales; Magnoliaceae
Exons: 4
Source: RefSeq, a predicted model, not a curated record
CAACAAGAAUAAUUUCCGGUAGCAUUGAAAAGGUUUGGUGAGGCAGGCAUCCCUGCAAGGCUUGUGGGAGAUUUUUGAAGGGGUGAGAAAGCUUCAUAAGGAGAUGGGAAGGGUGGUUGCUGCUGUGGUUUUCUUUGAGAGGGAAGAUUUCCAAUCAAUCUAAUUUGAAAUGUUUCUGAGUUUCAGUUUGAUGGUAGCAUUUAUAAGUUUUGAUCAAGUAGCAAAUUAUUGAAAUUGAUUUGGUCAUCCAUCUCUUUAAUCAAAUUAAGCUUAGUAGAAGAAAGUUUCUAUUGGCCUAAGAUGCGCAGAGACGUCUCCAAGCAUGUGGAGAGGUGCACAAAAUACUAGUCUGUAUACACUUAGAUUUCAAGGAGUGGAGAGCUUCUCAUUGUGCAGGUUGGCCAGUUUGCAAAUUGCCUGAUUGAGGCUAGAAAUGAAUUGCAGCAUAAAUCUGAGAUCAUUCAAUGCAAGUUUACAAUAACAAAGGCACUGCUAUUCAAGGCUGACAGGUCAUCGUUCGACCGCCUUUGUCAACAGACCAUGUACAUGGAUGGUAUCCUCCAGUUUGCAGUUUGUGUCAACAGAACUGUGCUUCAGCGAUCCAGACCAUUGAUACUAUGGGCCCCCACUUUUGAAGGGCAUAUCUCGAAAACCAUUCAGAUGAGAAGACCCUUCCCAACCCAGUUGGAUGAUGAG